GCCUCCUUAGCUCAGUUGGUAGAGCACUUCAUUCGUAAUGAAGGGGUCGUAGGUUCAAGUCCUAUAGGAGGCUCAA
RNAcentral lists this transfer RNA (76 nucleotides) under Cytophagales bacterium. RNAcentral describes it as "tRNA-Thr". It matches the Rfam family "tRNA". From Rfam's summary of the family: Transfer RNA (tRNA) molecules are approximately 80 nucleotides in length. Their secondary structure includes four short double-helical elements and three loops (D, anti-codon, and T loops). The record is from RNAcentral. RNAcentral also lists the same sequence under 1 other name. Lineage: Bacteria; Pseudomonadati; Bacteroidota; Cytophagia; Cytophagales.